GACGAACGCUGGCGGCGUGCCUAAUACAUGCAAGUCGAGCGAGCUUGCCUAGAUGAUUUUAGUGCUUGCACUAAAAUGAAACUAGAUACAAGCGAGCGGCGGACGGGUGAGUAACACGUGGGUAACCUGCCCAAGAGACUGGGAUAACACCUGGAAACAGAUGCUAAUACCGGAUAACAACACUAGACGCAUGUCUAGAGUUUGAAAGAUGGUUCUGCUAUCACUCUUGGAUGGACCUGCGGUGCAUUAGCUAGUUGGUAAGGUAAUGGCUUACCAAGGCGACGAUGCAUAGCCGAGUUGAGAGACUGAUCGGCCACAUUGGGACUGAGACACGGCCCAA
This 340-nucleotide ribosomal RNA is filed under the name uncultured bacterium. Its description in RNAcentral is "bacterial SSU rRNA". It matches the Rfam family "Bacterial small subunit ribosomal RNA", at positions 28 to 334 of the family's 1533-position model. The record is from RNAcentral.